Molecule: long non-coding RNA, 2300 nt
Organism: Astatotilapia calliptera (eastern happy)
Lineage: Eukaryota; Metazoa; Chordata; Actinopteri; Cichliformes; Cichlidae
Source: Ensembl
UAUUUUUUUAAUUUUUGGUAAUUAUAAAUAUCUGCUUUAAAUACACUAACAAAAUAGCUUGGACAUUUUUCAUGACUCGAUAUAGUAACAGCUUCCCAAAAAUUGAGAUACUUUGAAAAUUUCAGGAUCUACAAACCUGAGCCACAACGAAAACAAAAGAUCAACAGAAGGUUUGGUAACCGAUGCUACACAGUAGCUGAUAGAAGAUGAGCAGCUCCAGUCCUCCACGAGUUACCAGCGCCGCGAAACGCGUUACUGACACGUCAGCAAGCUCCGGCUGAAAACAAAAGAUCUGAAUACACAACAGCCAGAUUAACAAUUCGACUUCAUCGUCUUUAGACAGCGUUGAAUGAUUGGGAGAUUGACUGCAAUGCACUUAUAUUUGAUUAAAAGCUUCACAACAGUGUAAAUUUCAGAGAUCUGUAAACGCUGCACAUGAUUCAGCAGAAGUAAACACACAUAUCCAAUCAGCAAAGGUUCAUGUACUCUAAUGUAAAGAAAAUAGAAAAUACCCUCACAUGUAUGGAGUUACAUUUGUGCCACAAGUCAGUGCAGACCUGAUUUUUGCCAUGUGACAAUCAAUCUACUUCUUCCUAUGCUUAGAGUUGAAGCACAAAUGACUCUCUGUAAGUCAGAGCAGCAUCUGCUGUGCUGAUUAACUACGCGUAUGUGGGUGCCAGUUUCCUCCUAAGGGUGAGGGAAGGAUACUCUUCUUUGUUGGUACAAGUUGUUGCAAGCAUCGUUUAGCUGUACACACAAUAGGUGUCGAGAGAAAGCCACCUGCUCCCGGUUCCCUUUGUUCUUAUUAAUAUUACAUGUUGUACACCUAUGAUGCAAAGCUUUCAGGGAAUUACAUCUUUAAAGAACAAAACAGAACAACAUUAAGCGCACACACACACACACACACACACACACACACACACACACACACACACACACACACACACACACACACACACACACACACACACACACACACACGCACACAUCAGUGUUUGUAUUGAUUUUGCUUCCUGUUGGAGAAUUUUCAAGGGAAAAAAGUUCCCCCUUCAGAAACUUGUCCACUAUCUAGAUUUCCAUCUGUUCAGUUACUUUUUGUGAUUCUGCAUUAAUUCUGCACAUAACUCGUUUGUGAUGAGUACACAUCCUUCAGGAUACCUUUGAAAAGCCCACACAGACGUGCAGAAAGACCUCACUGCAGCGAGUAGGUGGUGGAGGAUGGAUUGUCGUGCUUGCUCCCAUUUUAGUGAACUGCUAAUUCUUUCAAAGAGACACCGAGGUCUUCCUCUCGGGUGUCGCUAAUCCCCUAAACAUCUGAUCACGUCAGAAAGUUGCAGCUGCAGUUUGUAGCAAUGCUAUGGAUGCGGUCUCCUUCCUUAUAGAUGUUGAUGCUGUGUAAUUUUGUUUUGUUUCCUUCCUUCACCUGGAUGCUGAGGUCAUGCCAGCCGCUGAUUUUCCUUCGUGAGCCAUCGUGGAGGGUUUGGGUUGGGCCACUUUCAGUCCACUUUAAAGCUGCAUUGAAUCAUCUGAAAAACUGUUUUCCUUGAUGAGAUCAGUUUAAAAUUCAACGCUGGUUGUGGAAACGGGGAACUUUUAACACCUGUUUAAGGAAGGUGUAGGUUGUGUUGCUAAUCUGUCUUUAAAGCACUUUUUGGUGGUUUAAUGACCUGUUUGUUUUGAAUCAUAGUGAAUGGCUCUCGGUCUUCUGGCAUUAGUUGUUUCAAUGUUCAGGACAAACCUUCUGUAAACCAGCUUUGAGCUUUUAGGCUACGUGAAACUUUGACAGCAAACAAUAAAGGUGAUUAUCCACACUGACUGUGGGGAAGAUUCCUAAAAACUACAGUCGCUCCUGUCUAAAAAACAGCUGUUUAAGUGUAACCUAUGAUAUUUUACAUGUUGCUUUUUAAGAUACUGUAUAUCCAGCCUACAAGUGUCAGUCUGGUCCAUAUUUCCCAGCCUCGGCCAACAGCAUUCAAAGUUGAGAAAAACAGAGCUGUGGUGAGAAGUUUGCAUCCACUCAUCACAGCCAUGGAUGUCAGGCUAAUUUGGGGUGGGAUGUUUUUUUACAGUGGGGUGGCUGUGUGGUAAACUUCUUUGAUGCAAAGCAUGAAAUGGGUGCACAAGUUUGAAUUUAUUUUGGAUUCCUAACCAGCUGCCUCUGACAUGAGAGAGACAGUUUCGUCUUCUUUCAGACGUCUGCAAAGUGGUGACACAUCUGAAUAAUUUAUACAAUUGUUUGAACUGAUGAUCUUGAAAUCUACAGAUGUUUAGAAAUGGCUCCAAGAGACUCUCCCAAGUUA